Molecule: ribosomal RNA, 253 nt
Filed under: uncultured bacterium
Lineage: Bacteria
Description: partial 16S ribosomal RNA
Rfam family: Bacterial small subunit ribosomal RNA
Source: RNAcentral
UACGUAGGGUGCGAGCGUUGUCCGGAAUUAUUGGGCGUAAAGAGCGUGUAGGCGGCUAGGUAGGUCCGUUGUGAAAACUCGAGGCUCAACCUCGAGCUGUCGAUGGAAACCAUCUGGCUAGAGUCCGGAAGAGGAGAGUGGAAUUCCUGGUGUAGCGGUGAAAUGCGCAGAUAUCAGGAAGAACACCCGUGGCGAAGGCGGCUCUCUGGUACGUGACUGACGCUGAGACGCGAAAGCGUGGGGAGCAAACAGG